This 419-nucleotide ribosomal RNA is filed under the name uncultured bacterium. RNAcentral's name for it is "bacterial SSU rRNA". It matches the Rfam family "Bacterial small subunit ribosomal RNA", at positions 356 to 773 of the family's 1533-position model. The record is from RNAcentral.
AGGGAAUUUUCGGCAAUGGGCGCAAGCCUGACCGAGCAACGCCGCGUGAGUGAAGACGGCCUUCGGGUUGUAAAGCUCUGUUGUAAAGGAAGAACGGCCUGGAUAGGAUCUAGGAGUGACGGUACUUUACCAGAAAGCCACGGCUAACUACGUGCCAGCAGCCGCGGUAAUACGUAGGUGGCAAGCGUUAUCCGGAAUUAUUGGGCGUAAAGGGUGCGUAGGCGGUUGAUUAAGUUUUAGGUGAAAGCGUGGGGCUCAACUCCAUACAGCCUAAGAAACUGGUCAACUAGAGUGCAGAAGAGGGUAGUGGAAUUCCAUGUGUAGCGGUAAAAUGCGUAGAUAUAUGGAGGAACACCAGUGGCGAAGGCGGCUACCUGGUCUGUAACUGACGCUCAAGCACGAAAGCGUGGGGAGCAAAU